GGGUGGUGCAGGAUAUUGGGCGUAAGGGAGCGCAGGCGGUCAUUUAAGUCUGUUGUGAAAUUUCGGGGCUCAACCCCGUGAUUGCAAUGAAACUAUUUUUCUUGGAUACAGGAAAGGAUAGCGGGUUCCCAUUGUAUCGGUGAAAUGCGCUUAUAUAGGGAGGAAACCCGUGGGCAAAGGCGCUUUCUGGAAGCAAACUGACCUUAAGGCUCGAAGCCGUGGGAAUCAAACGGGAUUAAUUCCCCGGUUAUUCCGGCCGUUAACCAAUGAUACCAGGUUUUGGAGGUAUCGACCCCUACCGUGCCGGAGUUAACGCAAUAAAUUUCCCCCCCGGGGAAUACGGUCGCCAGAAUGAAACCAAGGGAAAUUGGGGGG
RNAcentral lists this ribosomal RNA (375 nucleotides) under uncultured bacterium. RNAcentral describes it as "bacterial SSU rRNA". It matches the Rfam family "Bacterial small subunit ribosomal RNA", at positions 538 to 917 of the family's 1533-position model. The record is from RNAcentral.